Molecule: unclassified non-coding RNA, 256 nt
Filed under: Hevea brasiliensis (rubber tree)
Lineage: Eukaryota; Viridiplantae; Streptophyta; Magnoliopsida; Malpighiales; Euphorbiaceae
Source: RNAcentral
UGGAGCGAAGUUUAUAGAGAGCUCAGAGGGGGGAGUAAUAGCUGGGGAAGCAACUGAUCACAGGUGGGUGAUUUUGGUGUCUAUUAUCUUUCGCAAAGUUCUUCACCUUAUUGACAAGCCAUUAGAGUACACUGGCUAUGGAAUUGAUUUCUUCCUCAACUUCCUCUAUCAGAACGAUGGCCUCUUUGGCUUACUCAGGAACUUUAUGGUUGGAAAGGUGGUGAUACCGCAGAGAGGCACAGAAACUUUUAUAAGU